Small nucleolar RNA from Sapajus apella (tufted capuchin), 103 nucleotides. RefSeq annotates it as small nucleolar RNA U13. Lineage: Eukaryota; Metazoa; Chordata; Mammalia; Primates; Cebidae. The transcript has a single exon. The record is from RefSeq and is a predicted model, not a curated record.
AUCUUUUUGUAGUUCAUAAGCAUAAUGACUGGGUUUUUAUAUGCAUGGGUGAAAUGUGCUUCUUUCAAACAUGUUACAAUGUCAGCACAUCACCCACCCGAAA